UAUCAGUUAGAGGAUACAGAACAAGCAAGGCAUUGACCACAUACAUUAGUCUCCUGUAGCACAGAAUAUUGAAAUAAGACGAGGAAAAUAUUAUAACCAAAAUGUGGGCGGGAACUAGAACACGGAGGCUUCAGAGUUGGAAGUUUUUUCCCAAAGCGGAGGCAACUGCUGAUAAGCUCUGGUGGGGGAUUCCAUAAUCUAGGCAGUGUUGCAGAGAGAGGAAACAGAGAGUGUAGGGUAGAAGGCAUUUGUCAGGGAGAAGUGAUUAGGAGGUUGUGGUAAAAAAUAAGGGAUCCCUACGCAGGGACACUGGAUCCGAGAAAAGCGGCAUUGCAGGAAAAUUAGUGAGGUGGGAUACACAGGGCUGAUUGAAAUGCCAAAGAAGAGGCUACGGAGAAAGGACAGAAGGAGGAAUCAGCUCACUUCAAGGGCUGGAGUCUGAGUUCCUGGGAGGAUGGUCAUGCCAUUGACAGAAAUCUAGAACGCGGGUUAAGGGGCACCUCGUGGUGGGGAUGGAGAGCAUAGUAAAUGUGAUCCAUCCUGCCGAGGUUGAUUUUAAGGAGCUGAUUAGACCUGCCGUGUAAAGUGUCAUUAGACCUGAGCUAGAGCUCAGGAGAGGGGUCAAGCCAUUUUGAAACCAUCAGGAAAGAGGAAAAGCCAUCGGGACUGUGAAACUCUAGGAGGAAAAUGAGAAGGGUCCAGGGGAUGAAGGCAACAGUUUCAGGCCGUUGACUGGAAGGGGAGGCAAAUCGACUCUCCGUGAGGAUGUGGACACUGAGGGUCGGAAAGCUUAAACGACUCAUCGGAGGCCACACAGCUAAUUUGUGACCUGAAGGAAGUCCAACCCGAGUGGGUCUGAUUUGGGAAGCCACUCCCUCCGAUUCCACCAGCCCGCCACCUGGCACCCCGCCUCAGUCCAAGGUCCACCGCACCACCUUCUACCCCUUCCACGUCCUGGAGGCGGCAACUUCUGCUCGACACAGCCCAAACGACUCCAAAAACAGAGAAUUGAAGCCAGGACACUGUGACCGUGUGACCUCAUGUGACCACGAGGAUGACAGAUGAUCACCGGGCAGGCUGAGCAGAAGCACAAGGCAGCCGGUCUCUGCCGGUGUCUUUGAGCUCCUGCGCUAAUCGUCACCAGCCUACCUCUGGACUUCCUUUUGCACCAGAAAAAGCAACCCCUCAACCGCUUUUGUGAAUUUGUCUGUUGAAGCCAAAAGCAAGCCUCACUGAUAGAACGGCAAUUUUUACUUUCAAGAUGCAUAUGGGGAGGGAUGAAGGAAGUAACCACCAUGGCACGUUCCGUUCGAAGUGAUCGCCUCUGAGGGGUGCCUCGGGCUAUCACACUGGUGGCCAGGAUUCUCCUUGGAUCUGGGCACCCGCAGGCCCAGAGGGUGAGAAAGACUGCCUCCUUCUGGAAUGAGAGAGGCAAGUUGAAUGUAGACCUCCCAGAUCACCUCCAGGAUAAGAUGGUCUAUAAGACACAGGAGAGAAUCCAAGCUCAUGCAGGUGGGCUAAAAACCUUGAGCUGAAAGCUUGCCCAUCGUCUAUGGAAAAGCUUCAGAAAGACAGUCACACCUGUCUCAUGGAAGCUUCGAGAGCAUUUUUAGGUAUUUUCAU
Molecule: long non-coding RNA, 1623 nt
Filed under: Felis catus (domestic cat)
Lineage: Eukaryota; Metazoa; Chordata; Mammalia; Carnivora; Felidae
Description: lncRNA (ENSFCAG00000046064.2)
Source: RNAcentral